This 26-nucleotide non-coding RNA is filed under the name Homo sapiens (human). The record is from RNAcentral. Lineage: Eukaryota; Metazoa; Chordata; Mammalia; Primates; Hominidae.
AAGCCCACACAUGGAGGUCCUGCCUU